GACGAACGCUGGCGGCGUGCCUAAUACAUGCAAGUCGAACGAGAGCGACCGGUGCUUGCACUGGUCAAUCUAGUGGCGAACGGGUGAGUAACACGUGGGUAACCUGCCCAUCAGAGGGGGAUAACAUCCGGAAACGGAUGCUAAAACCGCAUAGGUCUUCGAGCCGCAUGGCUUGAAGAGGAAAAGAGGCGCAAGCUUCUGCUGAUGGAUGGACCCGCGGUGCAUUAGCUAGUUGGUGAGGUAACGGCUCACCAAGGCCGUGAUGCAUAGCCGACCUGAGAGGGUGAUCGGCCACAUUGGGACUGAGACACGGCCCAAACUCCUACGGGAGGCAGCAGUAGGGAAUCUUCCGCAAUGGACGCAAGUCUGACGGAGCAACGCCGCGUGAGUGAAGAAGGUUUUCGGAUCGUAAAACUCUGUUGUUAGAGAAGAACAAGUGCUAGGGUAACUGUUAGCGCCUUGACGGUAUCUAACCAGAAAGCCACGGCUAACUACGUG
Molecule: ribosomal RNA, 498 nt
Filed under: uncultured bacterium
Lineage: Bacteria
Description: partial 16S ribosomal RNA
Rfam family: Bacterial small subunit ribosomal RNA
Source: RNAcentral